RNAcentral lists this ribosomal RNA (495 nucleotides) under uncultured Lachnospiraceae bacterium. RNAcentral's name for it is "bacterial SSU rRNA". It matches the Rfam family "Bacterial small subunit ribosomal RNA", at positions 1 to 507 of the family's 1533-position model. The record is from RNAcentral. Lineage: Bacteria; Bacillati; Bacillota; Clostridia; Lachnospirales; Lachnospiraceae.
UAGAGUUUGACUCCGUGGCUCGAAGGAUCGAACGCGUGGCGGCGUCGCUAACACAUGCAAGUCGAACGGACUCAUACUGAAACCUAGUGAUCUAUGAGUUAGUGGCGGACGGGUGAGUAACGCGUGGAUAACCUGCCGUAUACCGGGGGAUAACACUUAGAAAUAGGUGCUAAUACCGCAUGAGCGCACAGCUCCGCAUGGAGCGGUGUGAAAAACUCCGGUGGUAUACGAUGGAUCCGCGUCUGAUUAGCCAGUUGGCGGGGUAACGGCCCACCAAAGCGACGAUCAGUAGCCGGCCUGAGAGGGUGAACGGCCACAUUGGGACUGAGACACGGCCCAGACUCCUACGGGAGGCAGCAGUGGGGAAUAUUGCACAAUGGGGGAAACCCUGAUGCAGCGACGCCGCGUGAGUGAAGAAGUAUCUCGGUAUGUAAAGCUCUAUCAGCAGUAAAGAUAAUGACGGUACCUGACUAAGAAGCCCCGGCUAACUACGUG